UUCUGGCUAUGUUGAGGUGACUGUGUAGAGCCAGUGCAACGAGAAUGAUUUAGAGUGCUCUUUAACUUCAGAAUCGUUCUGGCUGUGUUGAGCUGACCUCCCAGUUGUUAUAGUAGACUAAAACUUUCCUAUGUAAACAAUUUAUUUUUAAUAAAAGUUUAUUCGUUCGAGAAUUUGCAUUUGGUUAUUAGUCGCCUAUAAUUUGAAAAAUGAUUAUUCAAUAUAUUAAUUGCAAGAGUCCAAAUAUUGUAAUAGUAUUUGAGAUGUUGUGUUAAGUUAGGAUGUUGUACACGUAAGAUCAUUUUUAAAGUUCGUUUAGAAUAUUAAGUUUAUAAGCUUAAUUGGGAACUUAUAAACUUAAUAUUCUAAACGAACUUUAAUUGUGUGUGUGAGAGAGAGAGAGAGUGAGAGAGGCGGCGGAAAAAAGCUGAGCCGCCGUGCCAAAACCCUUAUUGGUUUUACCGCCAAAAGCCUCGUCAAUUUCGUUCUGUCCUUGAUUUUGUUUGGUUGAUUUACACCUUUGUGUUGAUUUAUUCCUGUAAAUCUAUCUUAAUUUUUUUUAAGUUUAUGAUAAUUAUAGAAAAAAAAAAUUAUUAUUAUUUUAAGAUAAAUAGUAUAUGAUUCUUCAAGAAUUAUUGUUCUUUUUAUGAAUAAACAUCAACCCAAAUCAUUUGUUGGUUCCGAUUAAUUCAUGAUUCGUAUUUUUAGAGAAAAUUUCACUUUUUUUAAACUUUAAAUUCUAAUUAUUAAUAGGUGUUUGAGACAUUACUAAGAAAAAUCUCAAAAUAAGUUUAAAUAAUUCCGCUUGAAAGCCAUACAACUAAUCGAGCUCGAGUCAGAGUUCAUCGAACUUUAAUUAUUAUUAUUUUUAGUUCAAAUAGGAUAGUUGCCCAAAAAGCUUAAACCUUUGUAUCAUAAGUGAUGAUGAUAGCAUUGAUAAUAAUGUAUAUUAAUCAAUAUAGAUUAUAUAACAUUGACUCGUCCUUAGUGAACUCAUCCAAUUUGGCAUAUCUCAUUAAAAAAAAUGAUUAAAUAAGAAUGUCAAGAAAAAGAAGACUAAAACUUUAAAAGUGGGUUAGAACUUUAAACAUUAAAUACUUUAGAUAGGAAUCAUUAUGUAGCCAUUUCAUCUCAAUAUACACUAACAAUUUUCAAAAGUAGGUGGUGUUUACUAUAAGCUUAUUUAAAAGCAGAAGUUAAUAAUUGUGAGUUAAGUGAGUAUUAAAUGUUUAUUUCAAAAAAUUGGGGACAUUUGCAAAUAUGUUAGAAAAUCAACUUAAAUAGAAAAAACAAGUCUAGAGAUGUUUUUAAAAAAAUAGUUUAAAGCAACUUAUUUUAGGAGAAACAUGAACAAAAGCUAGUUUUACAAACACCGAGAAACAGAUUAUGAGCAAAAAAAACCUCAAAAGCUGCUUCUAAAAAUUUUAGCAAACAAGUGAAUGAAACAAAUAUUUAGUACGUGAAGAAAUAAUUAAAGGGCUAAACCUAUUUAAGCCCAAUUAGUAAAUUGGGCUCAGUGUUCAAAUCCGGGUCCUUCAAACGACCCACUUUUAAAACGGACAUAGAUAUUCGCCGAAGCACCACGAUUCUGAAACGCAACAAAGAUAAGGCAGAGAAAUCGUUUGAAACGUCUACAGAUGUCUACAGUUCUCUCAUUUUUUUUCUCGCUCAAUCCUCCGCUGUUCAUCCACUCGCUCUCGUUCUUCUUCAUUUAUUUUCAACGCUCUUACUCAGGUAAAUCCUCUUUUCCUUACUCUUUAAUUCAUAUAUAUUCGUCGAUAACUGCCGAUUUCUCACAUCUAGGGUUCUUUUCUCGAUUGUCUGUUAGAUUUAAAUCUUUGUGGAGAAUCGAGUGUUAGUCUUGAUUUUUUUAUGAUUUAGAUUCUUCAUUUUUUGGUUUUUUUUUUAAAUCUGUUUAUUGCGUGUGAUUUUAUGUUUAUUGAAGCUUGUGUUUAAUUUAGGGUUUAUGUUGGAAAAAUUUGGGUCUUUAGUGGGAGUUUUGCUAAAGAUCUAGACUUGAGAUCUAGACUUGAGAUGAUUAUAAAGAUCUAGACUUGCCGCCACAAUGAUACGAAUUAGAAGCUAUUGUUUUUCUGCGGUGCUGGUCAAUUGUAAUAGGAUUUGAGUUUCGCCGUGGUUUUGGCUUUCUGAUUGCUUCCUUUGUUGUUAGAGUUUGAAAUGAUAUCAGUUUCAUUCUAAUUUGAGAAAAUGCCUGCUGACUCCUUAAUUUCAGAUAUUUGAAAAAAAAAAUGUUUUCUUUUAAAACAGAAUUGGAUGCUUGUAAGAUUGUUUACAUUGUUGAACCCAGAAACAAAAUUAGUCUCUGCAGAUAGCAUUCUAAAAGCCUCUCAUUAUUUGAAAUAACAAGCAGAUCACCAGUGCUGUAUUUGUUGGUAUUCUGUGGAUGUUGAUGCAUUCAUUUUGGCUAUUUCAUAUCUAGAAAUGCUAUUGUAUGUUUUGGUUGUUUUCUAAUUUCUUUAACUUAUACGCAGACCACUCGGGUGCAGACAUGAUUGAUCGUUUUAUCGACAAUACGAUGUUCAGGGAUUAUAAUGAAGCACAUAAGGUGAGGUUGAACGGGAAGUAUAUUGAGCUUCAAUUAACUCGGAGGUUUAUGGCAGAGGUGGUUACGUUGCCUAGUCCGCUUGUUAAGCGCAUUUUGGAGAAAAAUAUGGAGGAGAAGAUGCGUGUCGGUGAAAUUAAAGAAGGUGAUUCGGUUACUGUUGACCUUGGUUCUGAUGGGAAGAUAUUGGUUCUUGACAGUAGAAGCGGUACUCUGGCGGAAGAGGCUGAGGAAGGUAGCAGUGGUGCUCCGGCAGAAGAGGCUCCGGCAGAAGAGGCUGAGGAACCAGUUAUUGUCUAGAUGUGCGCCCCAUUGUCCUUUUUCCUGUGGUGUUUAUUUAUUAUUAUUUUUUUAUCGUUCUGGCUAUGUUGAGGUGACUGUGUAGAGCCAGUGCAACGAGAAUGAUUUAGAGUGCUCUUUAACUUCAGAAUCGUUCUGGCUGUGUUGAGCUGACCUCCCAGUUGUUAUAGUAGACUAAAACUUUCCUAUGUAAACAAUUUAUUUUUAAUAAAAGUUUAUUCGUUCGAGAAUUUGCAUUUGGUUAUUAGUCGCCUAUAAUUUGAAAAAUGAUUAUUCAAUAUAUUAAUUGCAAGA
Molecule: long non-coding RNA, 3157 nt
Filed under: Erythranthe guttata (spotted monkey flower)
Lineage: Eukaryota; Viridiplantae; Streptophyta; Magnoliopsida; Lamiales; Phrymaceae
Description: long non-coding RNA (EGUT_LNC000586)
Source: RNAcentral